Long non-coding RNA from Prosopis cineraria, 2505 nucleotides. RefSeq lists it as uncharacterized. The transcript is spliced from 2 exons. The record is from RefSeq and is a predicted model, not a curated record. NCBI's taxonomy places the organism in Eukaryota, Viridiplantae, Streptophyta, Magnoliopsida, Fabales, Fabaceae.
GCUCAAGAGGAAACACACGUCAGUCGCCCCCUUCGGUCUUCCUCCUUCAUUUCUCCUCGUCAAUCCACCUGCGGCCGGUUAACGGAGGUGCGUCCGCCGUUGCUGCUAUGGAAGUCCACUAGUCUUCUCCCUCUUCCAAGUUUUUAGUUGUCAAUCUUCUUUCCUCGCCAUCUGUUGUAGCGGCACCGCCAAAAGCUUUUUCCUUCUUUGUUCGAGCCAUCUUUGUCCUAUUGCCUAUGCUCAGUCUUCCAUUCUCCCUUCCUCUAGCUUGAUUUAGUGUAAGUGUGUUUGAAAGCUCUCUUCCUUCUUUUACGAUGCUCAUCCUUGUGUAUGUAUUUAGAAUUGUAGCAAAAAUUGAAAUUUUCCUCUCUAAUAUCUUGCUCUCUAAUCCUAUUUGAAGCUUGAAUUUGAUUGUUGCUAAGGUUUAAUCAAGCUGUGAUUUAAACUUUAAGGGUGUAUUUUGUUAGCUAGUUUCAUUUGGGUAUUUAUAAUCACUAUAAAAAAUAAAAUUAAUUAUUAUUAUUAAAAUUAGAGUUAUUUUCUUGUGGAACUUGGGUUUGAAAAUACAUGGAUAGGAGAUUUGAAGGUUUAGAAGCUUAAUUCAGUAAUUCGAAAGGUAAAUGCGUGUUAGGUGUUUGUAGAAAGGUUUAAAAGAGAAUUAUAUUUUAAUAAUAUAAUUAGUUGGGUUAAGAUGAUAUGACAAAAUUGGAGACUAAAAGAUCAUGAAGAAUGCACUUUGACUUGUUUAAAUAGAUUAUGGUUAUAUUACUGUAGCAAGAAAGUUUGUUUAAUUUGUAGAAAAUAUGUUAAAAUUCUAUUAUAUUUGAUAGGAUCAUUAGAAGAAGAAAAAAAAAUGAUUGAAGUUGUAAAAAGGAAAUUUUGAAACUGGAUGAUGCAUUAGAUAAGUAAAUAAUGUUUCUCAAUAAUUAGAAGUAAUGGUCUUUUUCUUAUUUUAUUUUUCAUUUAUUCUAAAUAAAUUUUCCUAUUAUACCUUUAUAAUUAAGUUGAUUUAAAAUAUAUAUCAUGUAUAUUAUUUAAGUUUAUUUAUGCAAUUAUUUUUAGGGUAUUUUGUUUUUCUCAAAAGUAUAAUACAUAUAUGGGCUAGAUAAAUUACUGAUGAAAAAAUCAUUUAUACUUUACAAAUUAAAAGGUAAUUUGAACUAUAAGGAUUUUUAGACUCAAUGCAUACUAGAAAUAUUUUAUGGGAUUGAAUAUAAAAUGUUAGUUGCUAAUGAUAUUUUUGUUAGCCCUUGGUGUGCUAUGGCACACUUAGCUAGCAAAGUACAUUGGAGGUGCUAACCCUAUGUGUCAGCCAAAACGUGUGGAAGAGAAGAUGGGAUUUGUGGAUAUAAUUCACGCUUGUUAUUGACGCAGAACGAGAAGGAAAAGGUAAGAGGCAGAGUAGCAUCGUACAUAGAAGAAGAAAAUGCACAGAACAAAAGGAGGCCACACACGCAAGACUGAGGAAGUCAGAUGUCACACGCAGAAAAAACAGAGUCAGACGCCGAAAACGCAAAGAAAUAGAGAUGAAGAAAGAGAGACAGAGAACGAGAGAGAGGAGCAGAACGCGCGAACAAAUACUAGAGUCACAGGCACAGAAGGAGAGUCACACAGAAAUGAAACCAGAGCAGAAGGAAAAUGGCCUUCGCCGGCACAUCAGAAGGAAGAAAGAAGAGUCACGUAGAAAUGAAAACUAAAGCCAGAGAAGAGAGAGCUUUUGGCACACGCGCAGAAAUGCAGCGGAAGAGAAGGAAAAAGCAAGAAGCAGAGCAGGUGAGUAAUCAUGCAUCCCUUCUAUUCUCUAUAUAUGGCUGAAAAAAAGAGAAAGGAGGAGGGGGGACGAGCUUUUCUUUCUCGGGCUUUUCUGGCUGGAAAAAAAAUAGAGAAACAGAAAGGGGAAGACGACCGAGAGAUUGAGGGACGAGUGUUUUUUUUUUUUUUUUUGGAAAAAAGAGACUGGGAGAGGAGGAGGAAGAGACCGAGAGAGAGGAGUUUUUUUUUUCCCUGAAAAAAAAAGAGAUUGGGAAAGGAAAGAAACUGAGGCAGAGAUCAGGGAGGAGGUUGCUAAAAAAAAAAAUCAAAGAUUCUUGGUCAGAAACGGUGAGAUAGAUUUGGGAUAUUGAGAGGAAGAAGACGUGUUACACACAGGUUCUCUAACAUGCUUGCUUCUGAAUUUGGAAUGUUUACAUUUAAUCUCAGUUCAUUAUUUCCAAACGAAUUUCAUGUUUAAAUAUCUAUAAGCUUUGAUCAGUAUUGGGGACCAUGAAAAAUUCUGAACAAGAGGUUGACAUAUGCCUGUGAUUGAUCGUUUAGAUGCUUGCAUUUCGUUAGAAGUUUUGGAUAUCUCUGGUUUUAUUUGGUGUAUCUAGAAGUGUUCUCACGUAUGAACACUGUAAAAUUUUUACAUAUGUUCUUGUAUGGCUUGAUAGUUGCGAUCAUAUUUCUUUAGGCCAUUCAAAAAUUGCUAUAGUUGCUAUUCUGAUGUGAUGUAUACUCUUUGAAAUA